AUGGCGGACGAACCCAACCGAGCGGCUUUCGUAGAGCUGCAGAGCCGGAUGAUCGAGACCACCGGGAAGAUCAAACAGCUACAAACUCAGAUGCGUUCUAAAGAGAGUGAAAAGAAGCGUGCGUAUCUUACACUGGAGGAACUUAGCCAAUUACCUGAUGAUACGAACACUUACAAGGCCAUUGGUAAAGUGUUUAUUUUGGAGCCGAGAUCACUUAUGGUAAAUGAGCAAGAGAAAAAGCUAAAUGAUAGUGAGACUGCAAUAUCGUCGAUGCAGACUUCCAAGGAAUAUCUUGAGAAACAGUUGGGAGAAGUGGAGAACAACAUUAGAGAGCUACUUCAGCAGGACCCUGGGCUUGCACGCCAGAUUCUCUCAAUGACUGUUCAGUGA
Molecule: ribosomal RNA, 390 nt
Filed under: Triticum aestivum (bread wheat)
Lineage: Eukaryota; Viridiplantae; Streptophyta; Magnoliopsida; Poales; Poaceae
Description: partial small subunit ribosomal RNA
Source: RNAcentral